This 440-nucleotide ribosomal RNA is filed under the name uncultured bacterium. Its description in RNAcentral is "partial 16S ribosomal RNA". It matches the Rfam family "Bacterial small subunit ribosomal RNA", at positions 338 to 795 of the family's 1533-position model. The record is from RNAcentral.
CCUACGGGAGGCAGCAGUGGGGAAUAUUGGACAAUGGGGGGAACCCUGAUCCAGCGACGCCGCGUGAGUGAAGAAGUAUUUCGGUAUGUAAAGCUCUAUUAGUAGGGAAGAAAAUGACGGUACGUGACUAAGAAGACCCGGCUUACUACGGGCCAGCAGCCGCGGUAAUACGUAGGGGGCAAGCGUUAUCCGGCUGUACUGGGUGUAAAGGGAGCGUAGGCGGGGAAGCAAGGUGGAUGUGACAGGUUGGGGCCCAACCCCGAGACGGCAGUGGAAACUGGUGAACUUGAGUACAGGAGAGGUAAGCGGAAGUCCGAGGGUAGCGGUGAAAUGCGUAGAUAGUAGGAGGAACACCAGUGGCGAAGGCGGCUUACUGGGCUGUAACUGACGUGGAGGCUCGAAAGCGUGGGGAGCAAACAGGAUUAGAUACCCUAGUAGGC